GGAUGUGAGGGUGAUCCAGCUGGGUAGCUAGGCGUGUGACCUCUUCCUCCUUCACUGCUCCAUGUGCAUCCCUCCCACAGCUGCAUGCUUGGUUGAAGAGCAUGACCACCUCUGAAAGAAGAGGACUAAUUUCUCAGUAAAGAGUAUAUGAGUAGCUGUACUCUCCUGCAAGAACCUCCAAACAAGCUCUGAGAAGGGCGUUGUUAAUUUCCAUGUUUUAAUGGGGUUUUUUUGCCAUUAAUU
This 243-nucleotide small nuclear RNA is filed under the name Chinchilla lanigera (long-tailed chinchilla). Its description in RNAcentral is "7SK RNA (ENSCLAG00000021820.1)". It matches the Rfam family "7SK RNA". From Rfam's summary of the family: 7SK was discovered as an abundant small nuclear RNA in the mid-70s but a possible function has only recently been suggested. Two independent studies have found that 7SK RNA binds the CDK9/cyclin T complex (known as elongation factor P-TEFb). Lineage: Eukaryota; Metazoa; Chordata; Mammalia; Rodentia; Chinchillidae. The record is from RNAcentral.